Molecule: ribosomal RNA, 464 nt
Filed under: uncultured bacterium
Lineage: Bacteria
Description: partial 16S ribosomal RNA
Rfam family: Bacterial small subunit ribosomal RNA
Source: RNAcentral
GACGAACGCUGGCGGCGUGCUUAACACAUGCAAGUCGUACGGUAAGGCCCUUUCGGGGGUACACGCGUGGCGAAAGGGUGAGUAACACGUGAGUAACCUGCCCACAACUUUGGGAUAACGCUAGGAAACUGGUGCUAAUACUGGAUAUGUGCUCCUGCUGCAUGGGGGGGGUUGGAAAGCUCCGGCGGUUGGGAUGGACUCGCGGCCUAUCAGCUUGUUGGUGGGGUAGUGGCCUACCAAGGCGGCGACGGGUAGCCGGCCUGAGAGGGUGACCGGCCACAUUGGGACUGAGAGACGGCCCAGACUCCUACGGGAGGCAGCAGGGGGGAAUAUUGCACAAUGGGCGCAAGCCUGAUGCAGCAACGCCGCGUGCGGGAUGACGGCCUUCGGGUUGUAAACCGCUUUCAGCAGGGACGAAGCUUUUUGUGACGGUACCUGCAGAAGAAGCACCGGCUAACUACGUG